GCAGUAGCCGCGGGAAUACAGAGGGUGCGAGCGUUAAUCGGAUUUACUGGGCGUAAAGCGUGCGUAGGCGGCUAAUUGAGUCGGAUGUGAAAUCCCCGAGCUUAACUUGGGAAUUGCAUUCGAUACUGGUUAGCUAGAGUGUGGGAGAGGAUGGUAGAAUUCCAGGUGUAGCGGUGAAAUGCGUAGAGAUCUGGAGGAAUACCGAUGGCGAAGGCAGCCAUCUGGCCUAACACUGACGCUGAGGUACGAAAGCAUGGGGAGCAAACAUGAUUAGAUACCCCGGUAGUCCCUGUCUCUUAUAC
This 302-nucleotide ribosomal RNA is filed under the name uncultured bacterium. Its description in RNAcentral is "partial 16S ribosomal RNA". It matches the Rfam family "Bacterial small subunit ribosomal RNA", at positions 508 to 807 of the family's 1533-position model. The record is from RNAcentral.